GCCUAAUACAUGCAAGUCGAGCGAGCGGAACCAACAGAUUUACUUCGGUAAUGACGUUGGGAAAGCGAGCGGCGGAUGGGUGAGUAACACGUGGGGAACCUGCCCCUAAGUCUGGGAUACCAUUUGGAAACAGGUGCUAAUACCGGAUAAUAAAGCAGAUCGCAUGAUCAGCUUUUGAAAGGCGGCGUAAGCUGUCGCUAAGGGAUGGCCCCGCGGUGCAUUAGCUAGUUGGUAAGGUAACGGCUUACCAAGGCGACGAUGCAUAGCCGAGUUGAGAGACUGAUCGGCCACAUUGGGACUGAGACACGGCCCAAACUCCUACGGGAGGCAGCAGUAGGGAAUCUUCCACAAUGGACGCAAGUCUGAUGGAGCAACGCCGCGUGAGUGAAGAAGGUUUUCGGAUCGUAAAGCUCUGUUGUUGGUGAAGAAGGAUAGAGGUAGUAACUGGCCUUUAUUUGACGGUAAUCAACCAGAAAGUCACGGCUAACUACGUGCCAGCAGCCGCGGUAAUACGUAGGUGGCAAGCGUUGUCCGGAUUUAUUGGGCGUAAAGCGAGCGCAGGCGGAAAAAUAAGUCUAAUGUGAAAGCCCUCGGCUUAACCGAGGAACUGCAUCGGAAACUGUUUUUCUUGAGUGCAGAAGAGGAGAGUGGAACUCCA
RNAcentral lists this ribosomal RNA (658 nucleotides) under uncultured Bacilli bacterium. RNAcentral describes it as "bacterial SSU rRNA". It matches the Rfam family "Bacterial small subunit ribosomal RNA", at positions 46 to 671 of the family's 1533-position model. The record is from RNAcentral. Lineage: Bacteria; Bacillati; Bacillota; Bacilli.